AACUGCUCUUCGAAUUUUACUUGAAAAAGAACUCUCUUUAGUUUUCUGCGAAUCAGACAAGAAAAAGGAAUAAAUAGAAACAGACGAAGAUCUGUUGGCUCUUUGUUAUUAUUAUUAUUAUGUGUAAGUAAUUGUUUUUGGACGCAACACCAAUACGGUCAAAAAGGCUCAAAGUUACUACUCUUCUUCAGCCCCCACCAACUUAAAAACCUCUGAGCACCAUUUUGUACUCAUUUCUUCUCUCUUUUCUCUAUCACAAUUUUCAAUUUUAA
Arabidopsis thaliana (thale cress) is the source of this 272-nucleotide long non-coding RNA. RefSeq annotates it as other RNA. The record is from RefSeq. The transcript has a single exon. NCBI's taxonomy places the organism in Eukaryota, Viridiplantae, Streptophyta, Magnoliopsida, Brassicales, Brassicaceae.